GAAGGGCCCGCCCACCUGCCAGGCCACGCCCCCGUCUCGGCCACGCCGCAGCUCAGGGUUUUCUCUGAGGGCUGUGAGAGGCUAGGCCCGGGGAGAGGAGGCAGAGGUUAUGCUCCGGUCUCUGCAGACUUCCACAGUGUCUAUCGAGAUCACACAUGCCAGCAUUGCCCCCUCCCAUCCUCUCCUCAUCGUACGGAGGAGGAAACCCAGGCCGAAGACCUGAAGUGUCCAAAAGCACAGCCAGGCCAAAGAGAAGCACCAUCCCAUGUUCUCCCACUCCCACUCCGGUGCUUCUUCAGUGUGAACUGGACCCAGCAACUUCUUCUAACAAAUAGAGCAUGACAAAAUUGAUGGGAUAUCACUUCUGAGAUUAGAUUACAAAAGGAUGUGACUUCUGCCUUGCUCACACUCUCUCUCUGGCCCUCUUGCGUGCUUGCUCUCAUGAAGCUGGCUGUCAUAUUGUCAGCUGCCCUAUGGAAGGACCCAUAUGGCAAGGACUCAAGGGAAGCCUCUUGCCAACAGCUGGUGAGGAACUGAAGCCAUCAGUCUAACAGCCUGUGAUAAAAUGGUUCUUGCCAACAACCACUUAAGCGAAUUCAGCAUCGAAUCAUCCCCAGCUCAAGCCUUAAGAUGAGACCAUAGCCCCAGCUAACACCUUGAUUACAGUCUUGUGAGAGACCAGAGCCAGAGGACCUAGCCAAGAGUCCAUGCCUGGAGUCUCAAUCUACAGAAACUGUCACAUAAUACAUGGUGUUUUAAUCCACUGUGUUUUGGCAUGAUUUGUCACACAGCAAGAUAACUAAUACAAAUCACCAAACUAGAGAUCCCUCAAAUGGUCAUCAAAAGUAGAAUGGAUAAGCUGGGCUGGGCUCAGUGUCCCAUGCUUGAGCCCAGGAGCUCAAGAUUGUAGUGUGCAAUGAUCACACCUAGAAAUAGCCACUUCACUCCAUCCUGGGCAACAUAGUGAGAGCCAAAAAUAAAAAAUAAAAAUAAUAAAUAAAUAGGAGUCAUUGAAUGAAUUUCAAGGUGGGAGUGGCCAAUGGUGCCAACUGUUCUAGAGUCAAAUACCAAAAGAAGUGAAGUUUCCCGACUGGAUGCGACAAGUUGCAGGUUUGCAGACCUGAUUCUGAGAUGGCCCUCGAGAUUCCCAUCUUUGGCACCCCUCUCCAUUUUUGUGGGUGGGAUCUGUGACUAUAAUGGGAUCACUGCUCCCUUGAUUAGGUGCUGUUAUAUGAGACUCCAUCUGAGCAGACUGUCUAGUAAUUCACAGCUGGCCCCAAAGAAGCAAAUGGCCUUGUUAUGAACUACUUACCUCAGGUCCUAGCCGCAUGGCCCCCUUCAAAGGCUAAGAGUGACUCUCACCAACCAGCAAAGACAAAAUAGGAUGUCAUUUCUACAGCUACAAGGAACUGGUUUCUGCCCACAACCCCAAGCUCCAGAAGGAAUUCAGCCCAGCAAACACCCGGAUUUCAGUCUGUAAGACUCUGAGCAGAGACCCCAGCCACACUAUGCCUGGAUUCCUGACUCCUUGUAACUGUGAGAUAAUAAAAGGCUAAUGUUUUAUGUCAAUAAAUUUCUUGUAUUUUGUUAUGCAAUAGAAGAAAAUAAAUAUAGCAGGUCAUCAAUGACCUAAGGGCAGAGUAGGUGAUAGAGAUCAUGUGAAGUCUUUAAAAUAGGAUUAUGACAUACUUUCCCUACCCAGUUGACCUCCUGCCUGGAUU
RNAcentral lists this long non-coding RNA (1721 nucleotides) under Homo sapiens (human). RNAcentral describes it as "HSALNT0022664". Lineage: Eukaryota; Metazoa; Chordata; Mammalia; Primates; Hominidae. The record is from RNAcentral.